UACGUAGGGUGCGAGCGUUUGUCCGGAAUUAUUGGGCGUAAAGAGCUUGUAGGCGGUCUGUCGCGUCUGCUGUGAAAAUCCGGGGCUCAACCCCGGACUUGCAGUGGGUACGGGCAGACUAGAGUGUGGUAGGGGAGACUGGAAUUCCUGGUGAUAGCGGUGAAAUGCGCAGAUAUCAGGAGGAACACCGAUGGCGAAGGCAGGUCUCUGGGCCAACUACUGACGCUGGAGAAGCG
This 236-nucleotide ribosomal RNA is filed under the name uncultured bacterium. RNAcentral's name for it is "partial 16S ribosomal RNA". It matches the Rfam family "Bacterial small subunit ribosomal RNA", at positions 524 to 755 of the family's 1533-position model. The record is from RNAcentral.